Molecule: long non-coding RNA, 1281 nt
Organism: Peromyscus eremicus (cactus mouse)
Lineage: Eukaryota; Metazoa; Chordata; Mammalia; Rodentia; Cricetidae
Exons: 3
Source: RefSeq, a predicted model, not a curated record
AUCCAUGACCAGCUUCUACCUGCCUGUCACCCUCUCAGGGUCUCAGCUGUCUAGCCCUGUUCCCUCUAGGGAAUGGUGCCAGUCACCAUGAGAGGUUUAAAGAUGUGAACUCAGCUGCCACAUCUCUGCUCUGCCAUCAUGGACUCACCUCCUGAAGUUGUAAGUUGAAAUAAACUCACCCUUGGGUUGCCUUCAUCAUGGGAUUUCAUGACAGCAACAGAAAGGGGCUAUGAUGAGCCUUGGAACACAGCACAAAAGUUAAAAUACACAGUCAUGGCGGAGAGAAAAGACACACACAGAUGCCACCCCUUAGAAUCACUUUUGAGCACAGGGAAAAAGUAAAAAGAAAACAGACAGGAAAAACAGACUCCUGCAAAAUGAAGCAGAGGAGACGGCAUGAGUCGUGAGGAACUCAAGAAGUACCAGCAAAGCCCCAAACAGCCUGUAAGCCUCACGCAAGCAGGCAUACGCUGUGGGAAUCUUUCUUCAUGGUAACGUUGGCAUUGGAACAAUGUAGGUGUGAGGUCAAGUGCAGCACUAGCCAAAGUGACUUUGGGAGCUCCAAGCUGCCUAAACUACAAGGGGAAACAAACAUGUUCCAGACCUAAGCCCUUCCUGGGUCACCAGAGGAAUCAGAUUAGGCAAAUUAGAUCUUUCAGAAAAGCACACACGUGAGCAGUGUGGCUCAUAUCCAUAAUCCUACCAUUUAGGAGGCUAAGGCAGAAGGUUUGCCCUGAGUUCAAGACCAGUCUAAGCCUCUGCAUGAGACUCUGCCUCAAAAAGUCAAAAAAAAAAGGUAGAGAUGCUUCUGGGCAAACAUGCUCCUCAAACCUAAGCUCUAUCCCUGCAUCCACAAGGCAUCAAGAGAAAGACAGUCCCAGAGAAUUGUCCCCUGAACUCAUAUGGAAGGUAUUUGUGCAUGUUCACAUAACAAAUUAAAUUAAAUUUAAAAUAAAAAACCUACAACUAAGCAUCUAAACAAAACAUGUCAUGUUUUGUCCAGACCUCCAGAAAUUGUGCAUACCAAAAUACACUGGCACUGACCCCAAAUGCAAAACAGGGGCUGGCCAACCUUUUCUGUGAAGGGCCUGGCAGUAACAGAGCUCAACCCCACUAAGUGCACAUCUGUCACAGUAUUCAGCUACCCACGUAGUACAAAACAUAAGUGAACAUCAUGUAUGCCAAUAAAACUUUAUCGAUGGACACAACAAAUUGAACUUCAUGGAAUUGUCAUGGGUCAUACAAUUUUGUUACCAUUCUGAGUUGAAGGGCUGUACAAAU